RNAcentral lists this non-coding RNA (27 nucleotides) under Mus musculus (house mouse). The record is from RNAcentral. Lineage: Eukaryota; Metazoa; Chordata; Mammalia; Rodentia; Muridae.
UACCAUACCUUUAACUCCAGCAUUCCC